GAUAUUAUAUGGGUUAAAAUACCAUGGCAAUUAGCUAAGGAACUCCAGUAGUGAGUCCCUAGCUUGACCAGCUGGAGACAGGUCCUUUGCCGGAUGCUGCUUCAUUUCAAUUUCCGGAAUCUUUAGCCCUCACAUUGCGAUAAGUUGGCAAGACCAGGACCAGGGAGAACCAAAAGUUGUGCAGAGUGAGAAAAACUUUGCGAAUAGCUUGUGUCAUGGGAAAGCGUACGAUAUAAAGAAAUCUAAGAAAGUGGGCAAAGUGUUUUUGUGCUUUUCGAAGGCAACUAAGCGCGAAAAGUUUUCCUUUCUCCCACUCUAUAUAUAUAUGGCAAGGACAACGACAACGCCAACGAAGACGACGAUGUUGGAGCUCUAAAUAAAAUAAAUUCGAUUCGCAUUUGGCUGAAGAUGGCGAAAAAGCCGCCAACGGGCCUCCUCCUCUCCUACUCCUCCCGCGACUCUCGCCCUUGGCAAUCAUCGCUGUGCAGAUUUUUUGUUUGCCGCUCGCCGGGCCCCAACUUUUCUCUGUCUUUUUUUUGCCCGUUUUGCGUUUCGCGACGCGCUGCCACAUUAAUUUCACUUCUUAUAAAUCUCACUAGCUGUCCCCCAGUUGCCCACCCAUCGACCCAUCCACUGUGGAAUCCAACUUAAAGUUACGUUGGGCUGACUCUGGCCCUUAAAGUCACAAGUUGUUUGAACCAUAAUUCAUUUCCUUAUCGUGUUCCAUUCAAUGCAAACACACACACCCUCACAUUUCUUUUGUUUGCCAUCUUUUCAAUUAGUGUCAAUAUUUUAAUCGCUUUCGAUUAAUUUCAAUUUGCUCGGCUAUUUUUCAACAAAAACACUGAAAAUUGCUUGCAUUCGCUAGCAAAUAUUGACAGACUUGUAAUUUUAGCUAAACGAUGGGCCAGGCCCAGAGCCUAGCCCAGGCCCUGGCAUAGAUGAAAUCUGAUUGCCCUACAGCCAUAUGGAGUAGCGUAUAUGUCCAGAGUUUAGGUAGAUCCCACCUGGAAAAAACUAAAUUGCCUGAUGUGCACAUAUGGAUAUGCAUAUUCCAUAGAUAAAUUUCUAUUGCCUAGUUAGGGGGGAAAAAGCUAGAAGUCUGCCCGAAUAGCUCUUUGUUUGGAUACUUCUAGUUGAGUGCAUUGUCUCAGGGAAGGGUAUAGAAAUGAUAACAGAUGAUUGCUGAUUGCUUAGGAAACUUGAAAUAGAUUCAAUUUACAUAUAUUGAAUAUAUAUUAAAUAUAUUAUAUACUUCAGAACUUAAGUGUUGGCUCUUUGACUCAUAGCGUAGUUUGUGGACAUGCUAAAAACACUAAUUUAUCAUUGUAUCUUUUUUGCAAAUUUUCCGUAAGUUCUUUACUUGUUCAUAUUUGAAUACACACUGAAUUGGCAACUAAUUUAAAUUCAUUCACAUGGAAUUGUUUUUUGUGUGUAUUUUGCGGGUCGAUCCACUUCAAUUGUAACAGCAAAAAUAUGCUAAAAAAGGUUUUGGUUUUUAUAAAUAAAAUAAAAUUCAGGUAAAAAAAAAUUAGGAAACAAUAUUUACAGGUUUUCAUGGUUGUAAAGGCUUUUUGAGGUCCAUAAAAAGUUGCCUGUCUAAUGUACAGGCCGAAUUGACAUGUUUAAUGUUUGGGGGGGAGAGGUCGGGGACGCGGCAAUAAAAGCCAUAUAAUGGCAUUGGGCAGUAGGAAAAUAUUGAGCAAUAAAAGUCGCACAAAAACCUAAUGAAAACAAACAAAACUAUAAAUUCGCCAGCAUAAAACUCCACGAUUGGCAAAGCAUUUAACACAAAACAAAUAAACAUUUAAGUUUUAUUUAUACGAGAGAGAGUUGCUUUGCCCCUCACAUUUCUCUGCCACAUUCUCCGCUUAAUCAUGUUAAAAGCCAAAUGCUGUGCGAACAAGAUCGUGGCAAUGAAACAACUGUUUCGUAUAUCUGUGGAUGUGGAUGCGAAAUUGGAGCUGAGUAAAUUGCAUUUGACAUUGCGUUUGAGUCUGAAAUGGAUGGAAGCCGGGGAAUGACAAGUCAAAGUCGCUCAUAUCAACCGGAAAAAAGCAACGAAAGCAUUUUGAACAACAAAUAAGAAUGCAUUUUCGAUAUUACGACUAAAAGCUACCCUCUACAAGGGAACAAUCUAAUAAAAACUUUAUCGAUGAAUAGAAAACGCUUUAUUAUUUCCACGAAUACCCAUCUACUCCACUUGUACCGGGUAGAAUAAACUUAGCCCACAUCUGUUUCUCUUUCUUUUUUGAAUUUCUUUGGGUUAUUGCUGUUGUGGUCGUUGUAGAUUGACUUGUGGUCGGAGAAUAUGUACGAUAUACUCACACAUUUGGGUCAGUCGGGCGAUUGUUUGGUCUGUCAAAAUGACAGAAUAUAUUCUGCCUCUCAUAUCACAGAGCGUAUGUUGGGUGAUUAAAAAGAAAAUAACUGGAAAUCCAUUUGACUGUCAGUGGGGAUAAUUGUAGUCAUAAUAUUCUAAAUCUUCACCCCCUGUCUUCCACGACUGACAGCCUAAGCUAUAAGUGCUUUAUUCGAGCUGGAAUUGCUAAUUUGCGUCAAGUAUUCAAUUACUUGUAUUUGGCUUAAAGAAUAUGCUUUAGGCCGUCCUUUGCCCGUCCUUCACAUAUUGCUUAGCCAUUUGUCAGGGACCCAAAUCAGAGAAGAGCUCUUCCCCCAUCCAUAUAUCAGGCCGGGCUACCUCAACUAUUAGGCUUAAACGGUUGUUUGUGGUCUCAGCGACCGUAAUUAUAAGUUAAGCUGCUAUUAAUUAUGGCGCCUAAUAGAGAGAGGAGUAGUAGGUGGCUACACAGCCCAUAUGCUUAACCUCAAUGUCGGCAUCAUGGCCCACACCUACCCUAUACGUAUACUCGUACAUAUUGGCUCAUCCAUAAGCAGUGCAGUGCAUAUAUCAGGCAUCCCAGCCGCCCAAUAGUCUAAUCGCUUCGGCGGGCAAAAGUCGCUUUUCGGGUGCGCGCAACCCCAAAACGAACCCGUAAUUAAUUUGCGAGUUCGGUAUCAAAUUUUCACAAGUGUGUGUGGGGGUGCCACGUGGUGUGCGUGGUUGUUGGGAGAACUUUGGCGCUAAUUAGCAAUAAAUUUGAUAUUUGAAAAGGAACUGAUUGAGCCGCCAGAGCUCCUCCUGUUCGUGGAUUAUGAUAUAUUGCUGCUGAUGAAGGGGCACAUUUACAUACAUACAUAUGUACAUAUAUCACUUAAUGCCAAGAAACAAUAAAUUGUUUAGGAUACAUUGGCCGUGAUUACAUUAUAUGCCAUAAAUUCGUCACCAUCGCUGUAAAAGCUCGCACCUCUGCGUGUCACUCCAAGCCUGUAAAGUUCCAUUUCCACCCAGGACAGGGUGGGGAUUCAAUGGGCCCACACCUUAACCGAUGACGCCUCCAGCAACCCGAUCAGCAAUGCAGCCAAGCACCAGGGGGCCGCGGAUGACAUGAUUUUCAGUCACAUAACGACUUUAUUCCUGCUAAUCUAUUCCACUAAUCUCACUGAGAAUGAGCACCAUCUUAUAGAUGGCUUUGAAUUGUUCGGCAACCUAGGCUAAUUAGACUAAUUAGAAAUAAAUUAGAUAUU
Drosophila miranda is the source of this 3588-nucleotide long non-coding RNA. RefSeq lists it as uncharacterized. The transcript is spliced from 3 exons. NCBI's taxonomy places the organism in Eukaryota, Metazoa, Arthropoda, Insecta, Diptera, Drosophilidae. The record is from RefSeq and is a predicted model, not a curated record.